GACGAACGCUGGCGGCGUGCUUAACACAUGCAAGUCGAACGGAAAGGCCCUGCUUUUGUGGGGUGCUCGAGUGGCGAACGGGUGAGUAACACGUGAGUAACCUGCCCUUGACUUUGGGAUAACUUCAGGAAACUGGGGCUAAUACCGGAUAUGAGCUCCUGCUGCAUGGUGGGGGUUGGAAAGUUUCGGCGGUUGGGGAUGGACUCGCGGCUUAUCAGCUUGUUGGUGGGGUAGUGGCUUACCAAGGCUUUGACGGGUAGCCGGCCUGAGAGGGUGACCGGCCACAUUGGGACCGAGAUACGGCCCAGACUCCUACGGGAGGCAGCAGUGGGGAAUAUUGCACAAUGGGCGGAAGCCUGAUGCAGCAACGCCGCGUGCGGGAUGACGGCCUUCGGGUUGUAAACCGCUUUCGCCUGUGACGAAGCGUGAGUGACGGUAAUGGGUAAAGAAGCACCGGCUAACUACGUG
RNAcentral lists this ribosomal RNA (468 nucleotides) under uncultured bacterium. RNAcentral describes it as "partial 16S ribosomal RNA". It matches the Rfam family "Bacterial small subunit ribosomal RNA", at positions 28 to 507 of the family's 1533-position model. The record is from RNAcentral.